This 405-nucleotide ribosomal RNA is filed under the name uncultured bacterium. RNAcentral's name for it is "partial 16S ribosomal RNA". It matches the Rfam family "Bacterial small subunit ribosomal RNA", at positions 30 to 526 of the family's 1533-position model. The record is from RNAcentral.
AUUGAACGCUAGCGGGAUGCUUUACACAUGCAAGUCGAACGAGUGGCGGCCGGGUGAGUACUAUAUCGGAACCUGCCCAGUAGCGGGGGCUAACUACUCGACAGCGUGGCUCAUACCGCAUACUAUUGAAGCGGCCGAUAUCGGAGUAGCUAGUUGGUGGGGUAAAGGCUCAACAAGGCAACGAUCCGUCGCUGGUUUGAGAGGACGACCAGCCACACUGGGACUGAGACACGGCCCAGACUCCUACGUGAGGCAGCAGUGGGGAAUUUUGGACAAUGGGGGAAACCCUGAUCCAGCCAUCCCGCGUGUAUGAGAAGGCCUUCGGGUUGUAAAGUACUUUUGGCAGAGAAGCGGUAUCUGCAGAAUAAGCACCGGCUAACUACGUGCCAGCAGCCGCGGUAAUUC